Molecule: ribosomal RNA, 1016 nt
Filed under: uncultured bacterium
Lineage: Bacteria
Description: bacterial SSU rRNA
Rfam family: Bacterial small subunit ribosomal RNA
Source: RNAcentral
AGGAAUAUUGGUCAAUGGGCGAGAGCCUGAACCAGCCAAGUAGCGUGAAGGAUGACUGCCCUAUGGGUUGUAAACUUCUUUUAUAAAGGAAUAAAGUCGGGUAUGGAUACCCGUUUGCAUGUACUUUAUGAAUAAGGAUCGGCUAACUCCGUGCCAGCAGCCGCGGUAAUACGGAGGAUCCGAGCGUUAUCCGGAUUUAUUGGGUUUAAAGGGAGCGUAGAUGGAUAUUUAAGUCAGUUGUGAAAGUUUGCGGCUCAACCGUAAAAUUGCAGUUGAUACUGGAUAUCUUGAGUGCAGUUGAGGCAGGCGGAAUUCGUGGUGUAGCGGUGAAAUGCUUAGAUAUCACGAAGAACUCCGAUUGCGAAGGCAGCCUGCUAAACCGCCACUGACGUUGAGGCUCGAAAGUGUGGGUAUCAAACAGGAUUAGAUACCCUGGUAGUCCACACGGUAAACGAUGGAUACUCGCUGUUGGCGAUAGACUGUCAGCGGCUUAGCGAAAGCGUUAAGUAUCCCACCUGGGGAGUACGCCGGCAACGGUGAAACUCAAAGGAAUUGACGGGGGCCCGCACAAGCGGAGGAACAUGUGGUUUAAUUCGAUGAUACGCGAGGAACCUUACCCGGGCUUGAAUUGCAGACGAAUUGCUUGGAAACAGGCAAGCCGCAAGGCGUCUGUGAAGGUGCUGCAUGGUUGUCGUCAGCUCGUGCCGUGAGGUGUCGGCUUAAGUGCCAUAACGAGCGCAACCCUCGUGUCCAGUUACUAGCAGGUUAUGCUGAGGACUCUGGACAGACUGCCAUCGUAAGAUGUGAGGAAGGUGGGGAUGACGUCAAAUCAGCACGGCCCUUACGUCCGGGGCUACACACGUGUUACAAUGGGGGGUACAGCAGGCAGCUACCGGGCGACCGGAUGCCAAUCCCGAAAGCCUCUCUCAGUUCGGACUGGAGUCUGCAACCCGACUCCACGAAGCUGGAUUCGCUAGUAAUCGCGCAUCAGCCACGGCGCGGUGAAUACGUUCCCG